GACCAUCGCCUAGAAAGUUGAUGACAAAUCUUGACUUACAAUUUCUCCUUCUCCAACCAUUAACUCUCAUUCAAACCUUGUGUGCAACUCUGCCUUUAAGUCCUUGGCUUAUCAUAUUAAAAUUCACCUUAUUCUAGCCGAUAGAUCUCCAGAUAUUACAAAAAUAAUAAACGACUCCAAUGUGCUGACUUCUGAUACCUCUUUACACUAAUGAUCAAAUAUCUUUUAUUCGUACCGUUAGAUUAACACAAAUUUUUGCAAACACUUGGCAUACUCAACCAUCUAGACACUUCUAAAAUUUCAACUGCAGAUGUUUCUCUAAUUUCACAAAACAGUCAAGAGUAUU
Molecule: long non-coding RNA, 346 nt
Filed under: Physcomitrium patens
Lineage: Eukaryota; Viridiplantae; Streptophyta; Bryopsida; Funariales; Funariaceae
Description: long non-coding RNA (PPAT_LNC007128)
Source: RNAcentral